UUUUUUUUUUCUUUUUAGGGCUGCACCUGUAGCAAAUGGAGGUUCCCAGGCUAGGGGUUGAAUCAUAGCUGCAGCUGCUGGCCUACACCACACCCACAGCAACGCGGGAUCCUUGACCCACUGAGUGAGGCCAGGGAUGGCACCCACAUCCUCAGGGAUACUCGGGUUUGUUUCUGCUGCACCACAACAGGAAAUCUGCAAUUUUUUUUAACAAGUAUUUUUUGACCAAUAUUUUAUUAUGAACAAGUGUCAACCUAUAGCCUAAAAUAAUUUAGUCUAUUUGGAAUUAAUUAGAAUUCAAUAUAUAUUUACAGGCCUUUUUUGAGUAAAAAUUCAAAUUUAUUUAUUUUAGUAUGAGUUAAUGUCUCUUAGUAUUGAGAUAGCGCAAUGUUUAGGAGUUCUGAGGCGCAUAGCUUUAUUCUUGCUCAGCCAAAGUGAUGAAGUGGGAGCAGCAUCCUCUGGACCCAGCUGGGUGGUGGCCACAGGAGUUGGACUGGAAGAAGAGUCUCAUAGAAAGGCAAGGCUUGAGGGCACAGAAUGAGACCUGCUUGGCUUCACCUGGAGAUGCUGCCCAUGCAUUAGAUCCCAAAAAACCUCACUAACCUUCAGAUGUAACCUUGGAGCAUCACCUUUCUGUUACAUAUAUUCAUGAUGAAGUUCCAGUCCCUACCAGCAUGAUUUUGGACCCCCAGUACUUGUAAAGCACCAUCUAGGUAUUUUUGAGAAUAUGCAGGAUGCUCUCUUGUGUGUGUAACAAACUGCCUUUGUCCCUUCUUGCUGCCUCACCUACUGAUUUUGCCGUGACUCAUGAAGCAUACUGAACCCGUCAGUGUGUCCCCAACUCUGGCCUCAGGGAGAGGACACCACAGCCCUUCUGUGAAUUCAACCCCAAUUUUCCCUUGAUCCCUGAGAGCCCUGUAAAGACUAAGUUAAGGUGAACAAGGCAUUACUGAGAGCUUGGGCACAAUGAAAUGAACUAUAGGAGUUCCUGCAGAGGUUAAGUGGGUUAAGACUCUGGCGGAAGCAGCUGGGGUGGCAGUGGAGGCAUAGGUUUGAUCCCUACCAGGUGCAGUGGGUUAAAGGAUAUGGUAUUUCUGCAGCUGCAGUGUAGGUCACAGUUGUGGCUUAGCCUGGGAACUUCCCUAUGCUGUAGGUGUGGCCAUAAAAAAAAGUACCAUGUAUAGUACAUAGCCUCACAGUCCUGCUAGAUAUGGUUUCCUGAGACCCCAUGCUCAGACCUGCUCUGAGGCCUCUUAGAGGGCUGCCUCCUGCCUCCACCUGGAAGGAGAAACCUGGCUUCCCUGCAAAAGUCCUGAGAUUCAUAUCACAUUUUACACUCUUCUGCUGGGCAAGAAGAAGGAGUUUCUCACAUCCUGUUGGUCUGUGGCCCAGCAUCUCUUUCCCUCAGCCAGAAUCUGCCUCUUCCCAGAAGGACUGAGAGAAAACAGACGCUCCCUUUAGGACAAGCCUUCCCCACCCUGUCCACCACUGCUGCCUCCCGGACAUGAUCUGGUCCCUUGGCUCCAGCAGGACACUCACAACAGAAAACACGUCCAACAGAAAUACCUUGCCAAAGUCUGGCAUGUUCCGUAAUGACGGCCGGAUGGCUCCCCAGCCAGUCCGGUUCCUUUCAGCAUCUCCUGCAGAGCAAGGUGACCAUGACCAUGACCAUGACCAUGUCUCUCCUCUAGUCUCCUGUGGACUCCAGCUUCACCAUACACACCGUCUACACAGACAAAAGAUCCCUUUACUCCAAAGUAACAAUAACGACUAAAAAGACGUAAACCUAAAUCGUAUGACACCCAGAGCAUUUAGCUUAUUUAUCAUAAUACCUGAAUAGAGAUACAUGAAUACAUCACAGUUUUCUCAAAACAAAAAUGUGGAGCUUUUUGACUUACUUUUUUUUUUUAAUCGUAUUUAUGUUAUGGAAAGACUGUCCAAAGAUACUGGCCAAGAACAAAAAUCAGUCUUGAGCAAAAGUAAGUCAGAAAGUUCUAACAACUUUUAAAUCACCUUUCCCCCCAAUUUUCUAUUGUCCUCAACGUUUCUAAAAAUAUCAGGUUAUCCCAUAACACAUAUUUGUCUUCUAUCUGACAAAGAAUUGAAGGCUUUCCGUGAUUAACACAUGCUUGGGUACUCACUACUGCAUGGUGAUAGUUAACUACUGUAUUUGUUGAUGACAACAUGUAUUUUGAACCUCUGAUAAGUUCCUGUUGUCUGCCAGAGACCAAGAAAGAUUGUUGUAUAACCUGCCAUAACAGCGAAAUGCACGUCUUCAGAAGGAGGCAAAACUAAGUGCAUCUAUCAGCUGCAGAGUCUGAAGAGGCUCAUCUGAUCCCAGAUGAUACUGUCUUCUAUUCUUACGCUACUUGUGCCCUUUUGCUCAUGAUUUGGACCUUUUCUGCCUUAGAAACCCAGGUGUUCACAGCAGAUUCUUGCCCCAUGGUCCAGUUGACUGCAAGUCUAUGAAUCUGAACCUGGCUUGAAAAAAAAAAAAAUACCUUUUGACUGGGCAUUCAGUUCACAGCAGCCAGCCUCUUAUUCAACUCUGGAAGCUGUAUUACUUUAUUUUUCUGUGAAUCAAAUUAAUUCCAACUCUUGGCCAGUAUUCUGCCAGGCUGGUGGGAAUUCACUUUUAGGUUUUUAUUGGAAGCAAUUCCUUCCCUGACUCAGAACUGCACAAGAAUUCAAGAAACUUAUGUGAUGCUGAAAAAGUAAAUAUUCUAGGUUUCAGUUUAUCUUUGAGGUCACUGAUAGGCUUAUUGCUUAAAUCUGUAUGGUCCCUGGAAAUAUCCUGCUCUGUGCCAAGGCUGGAGGCACCGGUUCUCAGAGUCCAGCCCUCCUGGGUGCAGCAUAAGUGAACUCUUUUCAAAAUACUUCCACGGAAGAGGGCACAAGUCCUUCUAAAAGAUACUUCCUUUUCCAUUCAGCUGUCAUUCACAAUCCCCAACCUACACAACUCCUGAACACUUGCCAUAAUUUCUCCAGUUUAAGCUUGGGGGCGGGGGGAGGCCAGGAAAGAUUGUCCCAAAGUCACUUCUUUGUCCCCUUAGGCAAACUCAAAGACAGACAAAAAUCAAGGGAAAAAAAAAAAACAAACCUCAGUGGCCCAUAAUCUUUCUGAUUUCUGUAAAGC
This 3136-nucleotide long non-coding RNA is filed under the name Sus scrofa (pig). RNAcentral describes it as "lncRNA (ENSSSCG00000058265.1)". The record is from RNAcentral. Lineage: Eukaryota; Metazoa; Chordata; Mammalia; Artiodactyla; Suidae.